GCUGAGCACGAGCGUGGAAGGAGGCCCAGCGCCUUCGGUGGUGGUGCAGAGGCUGGGGCCGUUCCGGGCUGGAGCAGCUCUGGUUCUUCCUUCCAGGGACCUACCCUCAGAGGCUGCACACCUCGGCUUGCCUCCCCGCUGGGAUACUUGUAAGGACAGCAUACAAGAGGCCGUGAGCGUGAAACCACUCUCAGACUCCAGAUCAAGGUGCUGCUGGAAUCAGGCCACUUGAGUGAAGGGAAAGCAGGAGAGAAGGACAUCAUCGUGAACCAGGAGGAAGCAGGCAGGGCACGGCCUUUGAACAAAUGACACAGAUCAAGGACGCAGCAUAAACCGAAUAGAAUCAAACGAGUCAAGAUGGCAGUCUCUCCCCAGGCAGCAUGCCCACGUGACCCCUUUUGGCCGGGGGACCUUAGUGAGAGUCAGCUUGUGAUGGCUUCUGGGAGAGCGUCUGCCGUCACGGCAAAGGAGCCAACAUGGAUGGUGCCGCCUUCCCACCUCCUUCCUGCCUUGAACGCACAUUCCACCCAGCUCUGGCACCAUCUUGCAACCAUGAAAGAAAGGCAAGAAAUACACAGAGAUGUCAGCCCUGACAUUGCUGAGAUGGGAAAUUAUCAUUAGUGUCCGCCUCUGUCCUGUUACAUGUGACAAGUCAACUCCUGUUUAAAC
Bos taurus (domestic cattle) is the source of this 669-nucleotide long non-coding RNA. The record is from Ensembl. NCBI's taxonomy places the organism in Eukaryota, Metazoa, Chordata, Mammalia, Artiodactyla, Bovidae.